RNAcentral lists this ribosomal RNA (366 nucleotides) under Fastidiosipila sp. RNAcentral describes it as "bacterial SSU rRNA". It matches the Rfam family "Bacterial small subunit ribosomal RNA", at positions 1 to 348 of the family's 1533-position model. Lineage: Bacteria; Bacillati; Bacillota; Clostridia; Eubacteriales; Oscillospiraceae. The record is from RNAcentral.
ACAUGAGAGUUUGAUCCUGGCUCAGGAUGAACGCUGGCGGCGUGCUUAACACAUGCAAGUCGAACGGGGGUCAUCAGGCGGAAGUCUUCGGACGGAAGCUUUUUGACCCGAGUGGCGGACGGGUGAGUAACACGUGAGUAACCUGCCUUAUGCUGGGGAAUAACUGUGGGAAACCAUGGCUAAUACCGCAUGUUGUGUCUACAAGGCAUCUUGUGGGUAUGAAAGGAGCAAUCCGGCAGAAGAUGGGCGCGCGUCCGAUUAGGUAGUUGGUGGGGUAAAGGCCUACCAAGCCUGCGAUCGGUAGCCGGACUGAGAGGUCGAACGGCCACAUUGGGACUGAGACACGGCCCAGACUCCUACGGGAGG